This is a long non-coding RNA of Mustela erminea (ermine), 186 nucleotides long. RefSeq lists it as uncharacterized. NCBI's taxonomy places the organism in Eukaryota, Metazoa, Chordata, Mammalia, Carnivora, Mustelidae. The transcript is spliced from 3 exons. The record is from RefSeq and is a predicted model, not a curated record.
GAGCAGUGGUUCUCAAGUAAGGCUAUUUUUUGGUUGUCACAGCAGUCACAACAGGCUGAGGAUUGCUACUAGCAUCAGCUGGUAGCUUUUGGGAAUCCUUGCUUUCUCCAGUAUAUUGGACACAGUGUUGACUGCUUAAUUUUGAAAUCAAACACAUGAACAUGCCACUCUCUUGUCUGGUUUGCA